CCGCACUAGACGGGGAGUUAGCGGUGCCCUGCACUCGCAAUCCGCUGUAGCGAGGUACAAUCCCCGUCCUGAGGCAGACUAUCUGUGAGGUUUGGUCUGAAUACGGAGCGUUGAUAGUCGGGUCCCGUGCAAUCGAAAGUCGUGAAUCAUGUCAGAUCUUGACGGAAGCAGCAUUAAGCGAAAUUUUCGAUGUGCCGCGGGGAAACCUGAAAGGAGCCACCGACGCAGAGCCCACUCGGAGGCAGCUGUCGAAGGAUGGGUGUGCGG
RNAcentral lists this signal recognition particle RNA (267 nucleotides) under Clostridia bacterium. Its description in RNAcentral is "signal recognition particle sRNA large type". It matches the Rfam family "Bacterial large signal recognition particle RNA". Rfam says of the family: The signal recognition particle (SRP) is a universally conserved ribonucleoprotein involved in the co-translational targeting of proteins to membranes. Lineage: Bacteria; Bacillati; Bacillota; Clostridia. The record is from RNAcentral.